GUAGGUGGCAAGCGUUGUCCGGAAUUAUUGGGCGUAAAGCGCGCGCAGGCGGUUCUUUAAGUCUGAUGUGAAAGCCCACGGGCUCAACCGUGGAGGGUCAUUGGGAACCGGAGAACUUGAGUACAGAAGAGGAAAGCGGAAUUCCACGUGUAGCGGUGAAAUGCGUAGAGAUGUGGAGGAACACCAGUGGCGAAGGCGGCUUUCUGGUCUGUAACUGACGCUGAGGCGCGAAAGCGUGGGGAGCAAACAGGAUUAGAUACCCUGGUAGUCCACGCCGUAAACGAUGAGUGCUAAGUGUUAGGGGGUUUCCGCCCCUUAGUGCUGCAGCUAACGCAUUAAGCACUCCGCCUGGGGAGUACGGCCGCAAAGGCUG
Molecule: ribosomal RNA, 373 nt
Filed under: uncultured organism
Description: partial 16S ribosomal RNA
Rfam family: Bacterial small subunit ribosomal RNA
Source: RNAcentral